AUGGAAGGUGCCGCCGUUCUCGCCCUCGCCAUCGUCGUCGUAGUAGCCGGUGGCGUGCGACCGCACAGAGCGGAGGCCGUCGAUGUUGAUGCCGACGUGGUUGUUGUCAAUGUCGUCGAACUCGAUGUUCUGCAUGGUGUCGAGCUCGGCGGAGAAGAUGCGGUUGCUGGCGUUGCCGUUGUUGUCGAUGUUGGCGAGGCCCAUGUACUGCGCGGCCAGCGCGGCGGAGAAGUUGCUGCUGGGCGCGACGACGAAGGCGAUGCCGUGGCAGCUGAGGUUCGGGUAGGUGGUGAGGAUGCCGAACGCGAAGGAGGCCGAGAAGGACCGCACCGCGCUGCCGCCGCGCGACCCGCGCAGGCGGAACGGAGCCGGGAAGAACGCGUGGCCUUUGAGCUGCACCGUGCCGUUGGUCAGCUCGAGGAGGCCGUCCGUAGUGAUCGUGGCCGUGCCGUCGAGGGUGAGGUUGGCGCCGGCGAAGCCGGAGAAGACGAAGCGGUCGUCAUCAGCAGCGGCGCCCAUGGCCACGCGAUGGAUGAGGCCAUGGAAGAGAAGGAUCGGCAGCAGCAAGUGAAACAUCCCCAUGCGCAGAGCUACAAGCUGGAAUAG
Molecule: ribosomal RNA, 606 nt
Filed under: Triticum aestivum (bread wheat)
Lineage: Eukaryota; Viridiplantae; Streptophyta; Magnoliopsida; Poales; Poaceae
Description: partial small subunit ribosomal RNA
Source: RNAcentral